This 559-nucleotide ribosomal RNA is filed under the name Peribacillus frigoritolerans. RNAcentral's name for it is "bacterial SSU rRNA". It matches the Rfam family "Bacterial small subunit ribosomal RNA", at positions 367 to 917 of the family's 1533-position model. The record is from RNAcentral. Lineage: Bacteria; Bacillati; Bacillota; Bacilli; Caryophanales; Bacillaceae.
CGGGAAGAUGGAGAAGUCUGACGGAGCACGCCGCGUGAACGAAGAAGGCCUUCGGGUCGUAAAGUUCUGUUGUUAGGGAAGAACAAGUACCAGAGUAACUGCUGGUACCUUGACGGUACCUAACCAGAAAGCCACGGCUAACUACGUGCCAGCAGCCGCGGUAAUACGUAGGUGGCAAGCGUUGUCCGGAAUUAUUGGGCGUAAAGCGCGCGCAGGUGGUUCUUUAAGUCUGAUGUGAAAGCCCACGGCUCAACCGUGGAGGGUCAUUGGAAACUGGGGAACUUGAGUGCAGAAGAGGAAAGUGGAAUUCCAAGUGUAGCGGUGAAAUGCGUAGAGAUUUGGAGGAACACCAGUGGCGAAGGCGACUUUCUGGUCUGUAACUGACACUGAGGCGCGAAAGCGUGGGGAGCAAACAGGAUUAGAUACCCUGGUAGUCCACGCCGUAAACGAUGAGUGCUAAGUGUUAGAGGGUUUCCGCCCUUUAGUGCUGCAGCUAACGCAUUAAGCACUCCGCCUGGGGAGUACGGCCGCAAGGCUGAAACUCAAAGAAUUUGACGGA